RNAcentral lists this small RNA (126 nucleotides) under Pseudomonas nitroreducens. RNAcentral describes it as "Pseudomonas rpsL leader". It matches the Rfam family "Pseudomonas rpsL leader". Lineage: Bacteria; Pseudomonadati; Pseudomonadota; Gammaproteobacteria; Pseudomonadales; Pseudomonadaceae. The record is from RNAcentral.
AACCGGGGCUUUGUCUUGACUGGAAUCCGUAAGCUCUUUAGUAUCUUGUACCCCGAAAAUUGGCAGGGCGCUUGCUCUGCCCAUUUUCGUUUUUAAGUGUCGUAAGACAAUCAGUGGAGCUAUAGA